GAUGAAGAACGUAGCGAAAUGCGAUAAGUAAUGUGAAUUGCAGAAUUCAGUGAAUCAUCGAAUCUUUGAACGCACAUUGCGCCCGCCAGUAUUCUGGCGGGCAUGCCUGUCUGAGCGUCAUUUCAACCCUCAUGCCCCUAGGGCGUGGUGUUGGGGAUCGGCCAAAGCCCGCGAGGGACGGCCGGCCCCUAAAUCUAGUGGCGGACCCGUCGUGGCCUCCUCUGCGAAGUAGUGAUAUUCCGCAUCGUAGAGCGAUGAGCCCCUGCCGUUAAACCCCCAACUUUCCAAGGUUGACCUCAGAUCAGGUAGGAAUACCCGCUGAACUUAAGCAUAUCAAUAAGCGGAGGA
RNAcentral lists this unclassified non-coding RNA (348 nucleotides) under soil metagenome. Its description in RNAcentral is "partial contains 5.8S ribosomal RNA, internal transcribed spacer 2, and large subunit ribosomal RNA". The stretch from base 1 to 120 matches the Rfam family "5.8S ribosomal RNA", at positions 35 to 154 of the family's 154-position model. The record is from RNAcentral.